Molecule: long non-coding RNA, 5819 nt
Filed under: Medicago truncatula (barrel medic)
Lineage: Eukaryota; Viridiplantae; Streptophyta; Magnoliopsida; Fabales; Fabaceae
Description: long non-coding RNA (MTRU_LNC007314)
Source: RNAcentral
AAUCAAAACCCUCAAAGAAGACUUCACCAAGGGUGCUUUCCCAAGAACAGCACUCAACAAUCCAAAGCCAAACAAAGCAAGGCUAACAACACCAACCACUACUCCCAACCUCACCUUAUAAUCUUUCACAAACGCCGCGCCGAGUAGCGGCACAAAGGCGCCGACCGCAAAAGCGAUGGCCGAAGCAAAAGCAGCAUAAUAAGGGUUAGGCAAUUUAUCUUUUUGAGAAAUGUUUCCUUGUCUUUUCAUUUGUGCAAAUUCAAUAUCAUAUUGUGAAUAGACAGACACAAAUUCACCAAUUGCCAUGCUACAUGCACCAGCUACAAGACCAGCAAUUCCAGUUAGAAUCAUUGUCUUAACAUCUUUUGUAACGGCACCAACACCCAUCAUUAGGGAUGCUGUUGAGAGUAAACCAUCAUUAGCACCUAAAACAGCUGCCCUAAGCCAUUGUGCUCUUUGUGUAUAAUCUUUUUCAUCAUUUUCUUCUUCUCCUUUUUUUUCAACAUCCAUGCUGUACACUUUUGAUUCACUACGUGCUAGUGUAGCUGCAUGGUGGUGCUGAAUUUCUGCCAUAGAUCUAAAUAUGUGAAAUGAAACUAUAUGAGUUGUGAAUAUUGGAUAUUGAAGUGUGGAAGACACACGCCUUCGGAUAAAGGUAUUUAUAGAAUUAAAUUAGUGGGUGCCACGCGUGAAAACUCAACGUAUACACUUUAAUAACUUUUUUUUUUUUUUUUGGUCUUAGAUGAAGUGGUAAUCCACUGAAAAUAAACUCACACACAACUGUGAGGUCCCGGGUUCGAACCCGGAUCACAACGUCCGGCCUUGCAAUUUCGGUAUUUGCCAGUUGAGCUAGGACUUCUAGACCACUUUAAUAACUUUUAAUUUGGAAUCUAAUGCGUUCAUACUUUGAUUUUAAUUUGGAUGGUAAUUUAUCUCUUUAUACCGACUAAUCUUUCUUUUCAAAUUGAAUACCUCAUAUGGUUCAAUAUUUUUUAAUGAUUUUUUUUUUCUUUUAUUAACUUCUUUUUUAAUAAAGCUAAAGUUAAAUAAGUGCAAAGCAUGUGAAAGGAAUAUCGCUAAAAGAGAGUUUUUAUUAUUCAUUUUCUGUCGUAUCAAUUUUUUUGCAAAGUAAAGAAUGGAUUUUAUUGAAUUGCCUAGACCCACAUGAAACAGAUGUGCAAAUAUGGAGUAAAUACAAGAAGUACACCAAUAAAAACAUAACCUAUAUANCAUAAAUAUGCAUAAGCUAUUAGCUAGCCGACAUUGAUGAAGCAAAAAUAGAUAUUGAGCAGUUUAUACUUUAUACGCACUAACCUACCUAGCUUAAAAGUUAGCAUUGUUGCUUUAAAAAAGAAAAUGUUAAAAAUUAAUGGCUUUAUUGUGAGCUCACUAAAGAACACUAAAGAAGAAUAUAGGUUCCUUGUCCACCACCGAAUAAAAUAUAUUUCCACCUCUCCUAUUAUUAGUCUCUCUCUUUUUUUCUUAAAUUGUUCCUCUUAAUUAUUAAAUGUGAUGUAUUAAUGUUAAUAUAUAUAAGUGGGUGUAUUUUAACAAAUGCCUAUAGGAUUUGCAAGUCUCUCUUUUUUUCUUCUUAAAUUAUUUCUCUUUUUUAGUUAUACACUUACUAAAAUACUCCUUCUAAAAAAUAAGUGGGUGUAUUCUAACAAAUGCCUAUAGAAUUUGCUAGAACACACCCACUUGUUUUUUUUAGAAGGUGUGUUAUAACAACAUACAUCUUAAGAUGUAUUUAUUAACUUUUUAGUUAUAACUUGCUAAAACACUUCCAUAUAAAAACUAGUUGGUGUGUUCUAUCAAAUCCCUAUACCCAUCAAUUUUGAUGAAGGUGUGUUUUAGCAUUGAACACAUCGCCAAUAUCUAUGGAUUAGAAACCCCAAUUCUGCAUAAUGUAUUUGAUUAGGGAGGAAAGAUUUUUUUUUGUUCUGAAGGGAAAGAAGAGCUAGAAUAAAAAAAUAUUAAUUAUAAAUUGUGUUUUACAUAUUUGCCCUUUAGUUUCACUUAUUUUAAUAAAGGAAAGUUGGUGUGUUUUGUCCAAAUAAAGAAGGUGUUCAAUGUUAAAACACAUCUUCACCAAAAUUGGUGGAUGUGUUGUAGCAUUGCCCAUAUAUAUAUAUAUAUAUAUGGGGAGAGAUAUUUUCACUCUAAGAGUAAGUUUGUUAUGUUACUCCACAUCUUGGCCUUUAAUUCUAAUAUGAAUUAAUGGCUAGGAUUGAUUAAUAAUAAUUGUUAUAAUGAGGUUUAAUUCUUCUCUUUACCGGAAAAAAUACAGAAACAAUGAAAACACUUAUCACGGCAAAAACUGAAGGAGGAUACAUCAAACUCCAUUGAUUGAUUACUUCCCUUUGCUACCUAUAAUUGUUUUUUUUAAUACAACUACCAUUAAUUUGACACGAUUCUUUAUCAUUUUCAUUUUCUAUGCUUCUUAUAUAUUCUUGGUAAUUCUUCAAUAGCCAAUCUGAAUUACUUGUAUUCUUCCAAUUAUCAAACCAAUUGCCAAUCUGAGUUUGAUCGUGAAAAGGGUUUUGGGUGUUUGUGCGUGAUUAGCGUUUUUUGAUGUUUUCAUAUUUUCUAGUACGGACAAGUAUUAAACUCACUAUAACAAUUAUUAUUAAUCAAUCUUAACCAUUAAUUGAUAUUAGAAUUAAAGGCCAAGAUGUGGAGUAACAUAACAAACUUACUCUUGGAGUCAAAAUAUCCCUCCCCUAUAUAUAUAUAUAUAUAUAUAUAUAUAUAAUUACUUUCACAUGAAUGGAAGGUAAACAAACAACAAGCUGCAUCUUUAGACCUUUUUGGAUUAUAAAAUCAAUUCUCAUAAACAAAAAAUUCAUAGACACAGGAAACAUGAUAUUACUAUGCAUGACCCUUUGAACUCUAUGUAGAAAGUCAAUAACCUUGGUGCUAGGAAACCAAAAGUGUAAAAAAAAAUGGCAUAAAAACACUUCUUCAAAAAAAAAAAAGUAUAAAAACAUGUUUAUUGUCAGAACAUGUUUUCUCAUGUUUGGCCAUUUUGUUUGACGCAGCUUUUAGCGUUGUCUGUCCUACUAUAAAAGUUCCGAUCCCUAAUCCAACAAGUGUUGAUUUACAAAUUUUAUUUAUUUUUUUAGGAAAAAAUUAAUUAUUUAAAACUUAGGACAAUAAUUUAUUCAGUGAAAAAAAAAAUAUGAAUCACAAUAAUUGAAGGGAAAUCUUAUAAAAUAAAUAAUUAUUUAUGUAUGAUGUAAGAUUUGUUUUAGUGCCUAACUUUGAUUGUCAAAGACAAGACCACGGUGUGUGUGCUCACAAGUUAGCCAACCUAUAUCUAACUCGUAACCGAAAAAAAGAAGUAUACCUUUUUUUCUUUUUUGAGGGGAUGAAGGAUGUCUUUUUCUCACAUUCGUUGUAAUUUUCACUUUUAUAGAAAAAAGAGAGUUGUAUACUUGUAAUAUUCCAUCGUAAUACGUAUUAUAUUUCAUGAAUAUUUUUAAUCUUUGUUUGAGAGUAUUUUUUACUUGGCUAAAAUAUGAUUUUGGUCCCUGCAAAUAUAUCUCGUUUUGGUUUUAGUCCCUGUAAUUUUUUUAGUUGUUUUUUGUCACUGCAAAUAUGUCUCAUUUUGGUUUUGGUCCCUGACUCCACUUUUGUGAUGAUUUGCACAUGUGGCACAUGAUGACUGAACCCAUUUAUUAGAAAAAUAGUCCCUGCAAAAUCUUUUGAUUUUUAAAAAGGUCUCUGCAAAAUAUUUUAAUUUUGAAAAUAGUCUCUAAAAUGACUAUUUUCAAAAACAACAUAUUUUGCAGGGACCAAAAACAACAAAAAAGAAUAUACAAAGACUAAAACCAAAACCAAAACGAGACAUAUUUACAUGGACCAAAAUCAUAUAUUUAGCCUUUUUACUUUAUAUAUUUUGAGAGGGACUUUAUGUUACACAAUAUUUGUAUUGACUAGCUAAAUAUAUAGUUCAAUAAAGUCAGCUGCAUUUACGAUUUUUUACUUGAAAUAAAUAUAUGCAUUCAUGUAUGAUGUGAAAAGAAUUACUCCCUUUGUGGCUUUGUCUCCUAUAUAAAGGUGGAAUAGAUUGUGUUUGUGCGAGUCUCCCAUGAUUUUUGCAAAGUUUAAAUUUGAUAUAUUCAAAAUAAAUAUUAAAGAUGUGUUUGUUUCAAAGUUUAAAAUCACAAUUCAGGAAUUAUUAUAUACCUUUAAAUAUUAAGCUUAAGUACAGUUUUGUCCCCUAUUUUGAUUGAAUCUGGAUUUUACCCCCCAAUUUUUAAAUUCGGAAUAUUACCCCCCCUCCCCCCCAAUUUAAUGUUUUUUUUUUUGGAAUUUUGCCUCCCCAACACAUUAAAAUGCAUUUUGGCCGAUGUGGAUGAUCAUAUGGAUUUUAAAAUAUUAACUUAUUAUCCACAUAAUUAAUUAUUAAAAUUAAAUAUUUUUUAAUUACAAAAUUAUUAUUUUUUUAAAAACGAAAAAACAUUAAAAAAAAAUACCAUAAAAUGCACAAAAAAAAACUGAAAAAUACUAGAAAAUAGAGAUAAAAUGUAGGGAAAAAACUAGAAUAAAAGAAAAAAAAAUCCAUUUAAAAAGGAAGAAAGGGUUGGAAAGGAUUUUUGUACACAAAUAUAAGGAAAAUGAUAUUUUGAAGGAAAUAUACGGAAAAUUAUUAUUAUUAUUAUUUUAAGUUACAUUUUUUAUCUUUUUUUUUUAAUUUAGAAUAUUUUAAAUAGGUGGAUAUUUUUUUAAUAUUAUUUAAGCCAUGUCAGCCAACUCCUGAAAAAAUUUAAAUUGGAGGGGUAAAAUUCCGAUUUUUAAAAUAGGGGGGCCAAAAUUCCGAAAAAUCAUUAAACUGGGGGGUAAAAUUUCGAGUUUUAAAAUAGGGGGGUGAAAUCCCGAUACAGUCAAAAUAGGGGGGGGCAAAAUUGCAUUUAAGCCUAAACAUUAUUAUCAGGAAUAUUAUUUUUAUCAAUGUAUUUGGUAGAUAAUUUCUUUAGGGUAAAUUAAAUCAGUUAUCAUCUUCGUGCAACUGUAAUGACUAUCUCGAGUUAGAAAAUACCAUAAUUGAUGGCUAAACUCUCCCUCAAGAGAUUUAAUACUAUAUUUUUUAGGAUAAAUUCAAAUCCAAGACCUCUAAAGUGGACACUUAAAAUGAAUAAAUUUUGUAUUGGAAUUAAAUUUGAAAUAUCUAUAGUUUUAAACAUCCUCUAGCCUCGUUAGAAUUGAUCUAAAUUUUGAAUCAGAUACGUCAACUAAUUUUGUUGACACAACUUUCUCUUAUGUAUUAGAACCGAAAGGAAUAUAUAGAUCAGAAAUUUAAUAGUAAAAUUAAUUAUCUUAUAAUUUAGUUAUACUAAAAAAAAGACCAAUUUUCUAACUGAACUAAGUUGGGAACAAAAUAAAAUAAUUUAGUAAAUUGGAAGACUAUUAAUUCAUGAAAUUAUACCUUUAACUAUUCAAAAUGAAAUCUUGAGACCAUAAAGGAUACAUCAAACUUUAGAUCUAAUUAACAAAAAUAAGAAAUGUUCAUAUCAUCAAACUAAACUUAUCUUAUAACAAAAGGAAGAUGUACGUGGAAUAAAAUUACAAAUUAAGUACCAUGGAAAGAAAGAUUUAAAGUUGAUCAAAAUGAUCAAACUACAACAUGGUUUACAAGCUUAGUUAAACCAAAAGUAAGAGACAUAGCAAGCCAUCCACCAAUCAAAACCCUCAAAGAAGACUUCACCAAGGGUGCUUUCCCAAGAACAGCACUCAACAAUCCAAAGCCAAACAAAGCAAGGCUAACAACACCAACCACUACUCCCAACCUCACCUUAUAAUCUUUCACAAACGCCGCG